This is a non-coding RNA of Macaca mulatta (Rhesus monkey), 1241 nucleotides long. The record is from RefSeq and is a predicted model, not a curated record. Lineage: Eukaryota; Metazoa; Chordata; Mammalia; Primates; Cercopithecidae.
ACUUGUAAAGGAAAUUCAACCAAAUACCAGACUAAAACUUCUCAAAACUCGUCAGGUUAUUGAAAACAAGAUAUGCCUGAGAAACUGUCACAGCCAAGAGGCAACUAAAGAGACAAGACUAUUAGAUGUCAUGUAUUCAAGACACAAUCCUGGAAUAUAAAAGGGAAAUUAAGCAAACAACAAAGGCAUUCUUGAUAAGGAACUUUUACCUUAUCUCCAAAGAAGAGAAGACAGCCAAGUCACAACAUGUCUUGACUCUUUCUAAAUCAGGAAAAUGGAGCACUGCAAGAUGCAACCGCGUGUCCAAGUUCGUAUCUCCAGUGAGGACCACAUCUCAUUUCUGCCCAGAGAAGGAUCCUGGGUCCUAAACCACGAUGCUCUCCUGCCCCUCACAUCUGGGUAGACUCUGAGCAUCCUGAGGACAAUGCAGAUGGUUGAUUCAGAUUUGCUUUGCUGUAGCUCAGCAGCCCAGACUGCCAAAUCAUAAAUAUUUCUUAGAUGAAUGCUGUCUAGGUUGUAACUGUUUGACCCAGGAAAUGUCAUGAUGAAAUGGGUGCUUGGGGAGCAUUAGUCUGAUAGAAUGCAGGUUGGUUGGACCAGAAGUGUGGGAGUUGAGAUGAGAACUAGAAAGAUGUCUUAGGAAACUAUUACAGUGCACUGAUGUGAGGAUAGCUGAGGCAGCCUGAGAGCUUAACUCUCAUUUUCCAUUGCAUAUAACACAACUUGACGAAGUCAUAGAAACAACUGUAUUGCACCAGUUUUCACAAUCAUUGUCCACUUUCCAUACCUCACCUUUUUCUCUGUGGCGAUGGAGACUUCUGCCUCAACAGCAAGGUUCCUCAGUGGUAGAAAUUUAUUGCAGGAGCCAUCCAAAUUGUCACAGAAAGGUGCCUUUAGUGACUAAAGAAGACCACAUCCAUAUUAAAUAUCCUACAACUUCAAGGUACAUCUGCAUAAGUUACCAAGUUUAGGCUCAUUCUUACACAAGUAAGAGUUUCACUGUGGCUCUCCAAAUACGAUUACUAGCGUUGUUUUCCAGAAUCAACAAAAGGAUGUGACUAUGGUGGUUCUUUCCACUUGAGGCCUUAAAAAAAUGCAUGUCCAUUCAUUUGUUCAGCUUCUAUUUCUCAUGUACCUACUACAUACCUGGCAUUCUCCUUGAUUCUAGGAGCAAAACGAGGUCCUUGCUCUUUAGAAACCUACAUGGUAGAGCGAUAAAUAAACAAUCAAGGAAUAAUCUA